Molecule: ribosomal RNA, 482 nt
Filed under: uncultured bacterium
Lineage: Bacteria
Description: partial 16S ribosomal RNA
Rfam family: Bacterial small subunit ribosomal RNA
Source: RNAcentral
AUUGAACGCUGGCGGCAUGCUUUACACAUGCAAGUCGAACGGUAACAGGCCGCAAGGUGCUGACGAGUGGCGAACGGGUGAGUAAUGCAUCGGAACGUGCCCAGUCGUGGGGGAUAACUACUCGAAAGAGUAGCUAAUACCGCAUACGAUCUAUGGAUGAAAGCGGGGGACCGUAAGGCCUCGCGCGAUUGGAGCGGCCGAUGUCAGAUUAGGUAGUUGGUGGGGUAAAGGCUCACCAAGCCAACGAUGUGUAGCUGGUCUGAGAGGACGACCGGCCACAAUGGAACUGAGCCAAGGCCGAGACGACGACGGGAGGAACCAGUAGGGAAGCGACAGCAAGGGGCGAAAGCAUGAAGGAGCAACGCAGCGGGAGGGAGGAAGGUCGUCGGAUCGUAAGACUCGGUGAGGAGGGAAGAACAAAGGGGUAAGUAACGAUGCACGUCGGGAGGGUACCUAAUCAGAAAGCCACGGCGAACUACGUG